UACGUAGGGGGCAAGCGUUGUCCGGAAUUAUUGGGCGUAAAGAGCGUGUAGGCGGUCCGGUAAGUCAGCUGUGAAAGUCAAGGGCUCAACCCUUGAAAGCCGGUUGAUGCUGUCGGGCUAGAGUCCGGAAGAGGCGAGUGGAAUUCCCGGUGUAGCGGUGAAAUGCGCAGAUAUCGGGAGGAACACCAAUGGCGAAGGCAGCUCGCUGGGACGGUACUGACGCUGAGACGCGAAAGCGUGGGGAGCAAACAGG
Molecule: ribosomal RNA, 253 nt
Filed under: uncultured bacterium
Lineage: Bacteria
Description: partial 16S ribosomal RNA
Rfam family: Bacterial small subunit ribosomal RNA
Source: RNAcentral